CGGCCCGUAGCUUAAUGGUAAAGCAGUCGUCUUAUACACGACCGACGCAGGUUCGAUCCCUGCCGGGCCGA
Molecule: transfer RNA, 71 nt
Filed under: Candidatus Brennerbacteria bacterium
Lineage: Bacteria; Candidatus Brenneribacteriota
Description: tRNA-Ile
Rfam family: tRNA
About the family: Transfer RNA (tRNA) molecules are approximately 80 nucleotides in length. Their secondary structure includes four short double-helical elements and three loops (D, anti-codon, and T loops). Further hydrogen bonds mediate the characteristic L-shaped molecular structure. tRNAs have two regions of fundamental functional importance: the anti-codon, which is responsible for specific mRNA codon recognition, and the 3' end, to which the tRNAs corresponding amino acid is attached (by aminoacyl-tRNA synthetases). tRNAs cope with the degeneracy of the genetic code in two manners: having more than one tRNA (with a specific anti-codon) for a particular amino acid; and 'wobble' base-pairing, i.e. permitting non-standard base-pairing at the 3rd anti-codon position.
Source: RNAcentral